UCUGGGACAAGCCCUGGAAACGGGGUCUAAUACCGGAUAAUACUCCUGCCUGCAUGGGCGGGGGUUGAAAGCUCCGGCGGUGAAGGAUGAGCCCGCGGCCUAUCAGCUUGUUGGUGGGGUAAUGGCCCACCAAGGCGACGACGGGUAGCCGGCCUGAGAGGGCGACCGGCCACACUGGGACUGAGACACGGCCCAGACUCCUACGGGAGGCAGCAGUGGGGAAUAUUGCACAAUGGGCGAAAGCCUGAUGCAGCGACGCCGCGUGAGGGAUGACGGCCUUCGGGUUGUAAACCUCUUUCAGCAGGGAAGAAGCGAAAGUGACGGUACCUGCAGAAGAAGCGCCGGCUAACUACGUGCCAGCAGCCGCGGUAAUACGUAGGGCGCAAGCGUUGUCCGGAAUUAUUGGGCGUAAAGAGCUCGUAGGCGGCUUGUCACGUCGGAUGUGAAAGCCCGAGGCUUAACCUCGGGUCUGCAUUCGAUACGGGCUAGCUAGAGUGUGGUAGGGGAGAUCGGAAUUCCUGGUGUAGCGGUGAAAUGCGCAGAUAUCAGGAGGAACACCGGUGGCGAAGGCGGAUCUCUGGGCCAUUACUGACGCUGAGGAGCGAAAGCGUGGGGAGCGAACAGGAUUAGAUACCCUGGGUAGUCCACGCCGUAAACGUUGGGAACUAAGUGUUGGCGACAUUCCACGUCGUCGUGCCGCAGCUAACGCAUUAAGUUCCCCGCCUGG
RNAcentral lists this ribosomal RNA (727 nucleotides) under Streptomyces sp. Its description in RNAcentral is "bacterial SSU rRNA". It matches the Rfam family "Bacterial small subunit ribosomal RNA", at positions 137 to 876 of the family's 1533-position model. The record is from RNAcentral. Lineage: Bacteria; Bacillati; Actinomycetota; Actinomycetes; Kitasatosporales; Streptomycetaceae.